Molecule: ribosomal RNA, 2900 nt
Filed under: metagenome
Description: bacterial LSU rRNA
Rfam family: Bacterial large subunit ribosomal RNA
Source: RNAcentral
UUAAGCGACUAAGCGUACACGGUGGAUGCCCUGGCAGUCAGAGGCGAUGAAGGACGUGCUAAUCUGCGAAAAGCGUCGGUAAGGUGAUAUGAACCGUUAUAGCCGGCGAUGUCCGAAUGGGGAAACCCAGUGCAAUUCGUUGCACUAUCGUUAACUGAAUACAUAGGUUAACGAGGCGAACCGGGGGAACUGAAACAUCUAAGUACCCCGAGGAAAAGAAAUCAACCGAGAUUCCCCCAGUAGCGGCGAGCGAACGGGGAGCAGCCCAGAGUCUGAAUCAGCUUGUGUGUUAGUGGAACGGUCUGGAAAGUCCGACGGUACAGGGUGAUAGUCCCGUACACCAAAAUGCACAGGCUGUGAACUCGAAGAGUAGGGCGGGACACGUGGUAUCCUGUCUGAAUAUGGGGGGACCAUCCUCCAAGGCUAAAUACUCCUGACUGACCGAUAGUGAACCAGUACCGUGAGGGAAAGGCGAAAAGAACCCCGGCGAGGGGAGUGAAAAAGAACCUGAAACCGUGUACGUACAAGCAGUGGGAGCACCUUCGGGUGUGACUGCGUACCUUUUGUAUAAUGGGUCAGCGACUUAUAUUCUGUAGCAAGGUUAACCGUAUAGGGGAGCCGCAGGGAAACCGAGUCUUAACUGGGCGUUAAGUUGCAGGGUAUAGACCCGAAACCCGGUGAUCUAGCCAUGGGCAGGUUGAAGGUUGGGUAACACUAACUGGAGGACCGAACCGACUAAUGUUGAAAAAUUAGCGGAUGACUUGUGGCUGGGGGUGAAAGGCCAAUCAAACCGGGAGAUAGCUGGUUCUCCCCGAAAGCUAUUUAGGUAGCGCCUCGUGAAUUCAUCUUCGGGGGUAGAGCACUGUUUCGGCUAGGGGGUCAUCCCGACUUACCAACCCGAUGCAAACUACGAAUACCGAAGAAUGUUAUCACGGGAGACACACGGCGGGUGCUAACGUCCGUCGUGAAGAGGGAAACAACCCAGACCGCCAGCUAAGGUCCCAAAGUCAUGGUUAAGUGGGAAACGAUGUGGGAAGGCACAGACAGCCAGGAUGUUGGCUUAGAAGCAGCCAUCAUUUAAAGAAAGCGUAAUAGCUCACUGGUCGAGUCGGCCUGCGCGGAAGAUGUAACGGGGCUAAACCAUGCACCGAAGCUGCGGCAGCGACACUAUGUGUUGUUGGGUAGGGGAGCGUUCUGUAAGCCUGCGAAGGUGACCUGUGAGGGUUGCUGGAGGUAUCAGAAGUGCGAAUGCUGACAUAAGUAACGAUAAAGCGGGUGAAAAGCCCGCUCGCCGGAAGACCAAGGGUUCCUGUCCAACGUUAAUCGGGGCAGGGUGAGUCGACCCCUAAGGCGAGGCCGAAAGGCGUAGUCGAUGGGAAACAGGUUAAUAUUCCUGUACUUGGUGUUACUGCGAAGGGGGGACGGAGAAGGCUAUGUUAGCCGGGCGACGGUUGUCCCGGUUUAAGCAUGUAGGCUGGUUAUCCAGGCAAAUCCGGAUAAUCAAGGCUGAGGUGUGAUGACGAGGCACUACGGUGCUGAAGUAACAAAUGCCCUGCUUCCAGGAAAAGCCUCUAAGCAUCAGGUAACAUCAAAUCGUACCCCAAACCGACACAGGUGGUCAGGUAGAGAAUACCAAGGCGCUUGAGAGAACUCGGGUGAAGGAACUAGGCAAAAUGGUGCCGUAACUUCGGGAGAAGGCACGCUGGUGUGUAGGUGAAGCCCCUGCGGGUGGAGCUGAGACCAGUCGAAGAUACCAGCUGGCUGCAACUGUUUAUUAAAAACACAGCACUGUGCAAACACGAAAGUGGACGUAUACGGUGUGACGCCUGCCCGGUGCCGGAAGGUUAAUUGAUGGGGUUAUCCGUAAGGAGAAGCUCUUGAUCGAAGCCCCGGUAAACGGCGGCCGUAACUAUAACGGUCCUAAGGUAGCGAAAUUCCUUGUCGGGUAAGUUCCGACCUGCACGAAUGGCGUAAUGAUGGCCAGGCUGUCUCCACCCGAGACUCAGUGAAAUUGAACUCGCUGUGAAGAUGCAGUGUACCCGCGGCAAGACGGAAAGACCCCGUGAACCUUUACUAUAGCUUGACACUGAACAUUGAGCCUUGAUGUGUAGGAUAGGUGGGAGGCUUUGAAGCGUGGACGCCAGUCUGCGUGGAGCCAACCUUGAAAUACCACCCUUUAAUGUUUGAUGUUCUAACGUUGGCCCCUGACCGGGGUUGCGGACAGUGUCUGGUGGGUAGUUUGACUGGGGCGGUCUCCUCCCAAAGCGUAACGGAGGAGCACGAAGGUUAGCUAAUCCUGGUCGGACAUCAGGAGGUUAGUGCAAUGGCAUAAGCUAGCUUGACUGCGAGCGUGACGGCGCGAGCAGGUGCGAAAGCAGGUCAUAGUGAUCCGGUGGUUCUGAAUGGAAGGGCCAUCGCUCAACGGAUAAAAGGUACUCCGGGGAUAACAGGCUGAUACCGCCCAAGAGUUCAUAUCGACGGCGGUGUUUGGCACCUCGAUGUCGGCUCAUCACAUCCUGGGGCUGAAGUAGGUCCCAAGGGUAUGGCUGUUCGCCAUUUAAAGUGGUACGCGAGCUGGGUUUAGAACGUCGUGAGACAGUUCGGUCCCUAUCUGCCGUGGGCGCUGGAGAAUUGAGGGGGGCUGCUCCUAGUACGAGAGGACCGGAGUGGACGCAUCACUGGUGUUCGGGUUGUCAUGCCAAUGGCACUGCCCGGUAGCUAAAUGCGGAAGAGAUAAGUGCUGAAAGCAUCUAAGCACGAAACUUGCCCCGAGAUGAGUUCUCCCUGAGACUUUAAGUCUCCUGAAGGAACGUUAAAGACGAUGACGUUGAUAGGCCGGGUGUGUAAGCGCAGCGAUGCGUUGAGCUAACCGGUACUAAUGAACCGUGAGGCUUAACCUU